UUACAUUGAUUAAUUGUUGGCUCCGCCACAAUCCAAAUGUAGCGAAGACACAUGCUCGAGUUCCCAGAUUCCUGAACCCAACUCAGAUCAUUACCGUCACAGUGUGGGUGAUAGCCUUCCACGUCCAGUCUUAUGGCUGAGACGGAUGGGUCACUUAUCACGGAAAGUGUUGCAUGUACUCAACCAGGGUGUUUCAUUAUGACGGUGUGAACAUUGCGUUACGGUAUAUGUCACCUAUGGCGGUUGCAGCCAGGAAAAGGGCUGCCAAUAUUUGAUAACAUAAUUGUCAGAGCUGAUAGUAUUGGGAUAACGAUGACAUUUAUCUUGAUACUACCGGUAUUUAUCUUCACUCGGCAGAGUGCCAGAAUAAUUCUUUCGCAUGUGAACGCUUGAAGAAGUCAGAAGUGCGCGCGGUAUUUGUAGUUUAAUUGUAUUUUCAUUUUAAUUCUAGUAAAGUGGUGUAAAGUAUUAAUAGUGUUUCAUUUUUGUAGAUAACGUUAGGAAAGUAAAAGUUCGAGAUUUAAAAGUUCUUAAAUUACGCAAAAUUGUGUUAGUACGUUUAAUAGUGAUAAAAAAAGCCGAUAGAAAUACGGAAGACAUACACAACAUUUAUACAAAUUAAAACGUUAUAAAAGGUCCUCAACGGGCCUUUUAUUCUUGGGCUUCGAACGUUGUUCGGAGUUUCUUUUCGCAGGCUCACAAUGUCUCGAGCGAGGAGCGACGAUUAAUCCGGAAUUAAGUUCACCGCGAAGGGCAAUUAUAAAACUAUUAAUCGAACGACGUCAUUGUCAUCGGAGAAGCCAUUGUCAUCGAAGACGCCAUUACAAAUUCCAGCGUCCAUGGUCAUUCUCAACGCCAUUACUAGCUCCGGCGCCAUUACCAUCGCUGACGGUUGUCGCGCUAUGAGCUGUCAGGAAAGCCAGAUCACCGAUUACUUCGAGGAAAUAUACAUCCGGGAUCGCCAAACUUUCCCCACCAGACCUGCACCAACAAAAACCGAGCAAAAGCGCAAGUAGAAAAACCCAUAAAGUGACGUCACUAGCUUUAAGUUAAACUCAGUUAGUCAGAAUAAAUGUUGAAAAUGUUAAUUAGGAACCGUUAGCCUAGUUUCUACAUAAUGAGCGAAAUUAGUACAAGUACACCAUUCUUGAUCUCGUUCUCCGGACUCUAAAGGAGUCGCCAUCCCUCGUCUUCGAGUGUUCUCCCAAAGAAGACCUUCUGGUUUCGCCUUUGAGUAAAACUAAAAUAUUGAAUCAACCUUUUGGUUGUCCACCCUGGUUCUCGACGGUUAUCGGUGUUUCGGUUUCAUACGGUUCCCGUUAGAAGUGAGUACCGUGGUGAGUAUAUGCAAGGCUCAAACAAGUAGUAGUGAUUGUGAACAUAAUUUCCCCUCUAACCACCCACUGAGCAAGUCGAGGGGCUACAAAUUGGCGCCCAACAUUAAAAAUCCACA
Molecule: long non-coding RNA, 1453 nt
Organism: Malaya genurostris
Lineage: Eukaryota; Metazoa; Arthropoda; Insecta; Diptera; Culicidae
Exons: 3
Source: RefSeq, a predicted model, not a curated record